RNAcentral lists this ribosomal RNA (253 nucleotides) under uncultured bacterium. RNAcentral's name for it is "partial 16S ribosomal RNA". It matches the Rfam family "Bacterial small subunit ribosomal RNA", at positions 524 to 776 of the family's 1533-position model. The record is from RNAcentral.
UACAGAGGUGGCAAGCGUUGUUCGGAAUUACUGGGCGUAAAGGGCGCGUAGGCGGUCUCUUAAGUUCCGUGUGAAAUCCCUCGGCUCAACUGGGGAACUGCACGGAAAACUGGGAGGCUUGAGUUCGGGAGAGGGAAGCGGAAUUCCGGGUGUAGCGGUGAAAUGCGUAGAUAUCCGGAGGAACACCGGUGGCGAAGGCGGCUUCCUGGACCGACACUGACGCUGAGGCGCGAAAGCUAGGGGAGCAAACGGG